Drosophila miranda is the source of this 185-nucleotide long non-coding RNA. RefSeq lists it as uncharacterized. The transcript is spliced from 2 exons. NCBI's taxonomy places the organism in Eukaryota, Metazoa, Arthropoda, Insecta, Diptera, Drosophilidae. The record is from RefSeq and is a predicted model, not a curated record.
GCACGGCACCAGCUCGUGCAGAACGGCGGCAGCGAUGCAGCUGGAGGCGGGGCCACGUCCGCGGUUGCUGAUGUCAAAGGUGUCGUUCGGCAUGAUCAGCUCCUUGAAGUAGCGCCACAGGGGCAGACGCCAAACGCGAUCCCCCGUAAGGGCACCGGCCUUCUCGAACUGCUUGUAGACGAAGU